GAAGCAUCUGUAUGCAGGGGGUGAUUUGUACAUUGGCGGAAUGGAUGCCCCUAAUGCUUCCGAGUGUUGGCCUUGGCCCUGGCUCUGGUUUACUGUGUUCUCCCGCUCAGAAAGCUCUGCCCUGACCACAAAGAUACGUUCUUGCUCCCUUUCAGCUGUUCCGUGACCCCUGGAAGUCGGUGAUUCCACCAAAAAUAGCGGGCUGGUUAUUGGACAGUACAUAGAGGCUCCAGUGUAGACAUCUCAGCCCAGUGGUGAAAGCCUGUGUUAGUCUUAGCCCAGCCAUGUGCGACCUUCGCUGAAAAUGCAGAGCCAUGGGGAGACCUACAGCCGGACGCUGUGUGCAGCAAACCAUCCCCACUGUGAGACGCUAUGCAUCGAAUUCAAGACAUUACUUCAUUUUCAUGCACAGAAAGGUGAACUAUUUUCAGUCCAACGCCAGGAGGUUAUUUUUCCUCGUGACUCCCUCC
Non-coding RNA from Heterocephalus glaber (naked mole-rat), 470 nucleotides. The record is from RefSeq and is a predicted model, not a curated record. Lineage: Eukaryota; Metazoa; Chordata; Mammalia; Rodentia; Bathyergidae.